RNAcentral lists this ribosomal RNA (119 nucleotides) under Aphidius gifuensis. Lineage: Eukaryota; Metazoa; Arthropoda; Insecta; Hymenoptera; Braconidae. The record is from RNAcentral.
GUCAACGGCCACAUCGCCCUGAACGUACCGGUUCUCGUCCGAUCACCGAAGUCAAGCAGGGCUGAGCGUGGUUAGUACUUGGAUGGGUGACCGCUUGGGAACACCACGUGCUGUUGGCA